Molecule: transfer RNA, 68 nt
Filed under: Uropsilus soricipes
Lineage: Eukaryota; Metazoa; Chordata; Mammalia; Eulipotyphla; Talpidae
Also listed under: 1 other name
Description: tRNA-Thr
Rfam family: tRNA
About the family: Transfer RNA (tRNA) molecules are approximately 80 nucleotides in length.
Source: RNAcentral
GUCUUUGUAGUAUAAUAAAUUACUCUGGUCUUGUAAACCAAAAAUGGAGAAGCAAUCUCCCCAAGACA